CCUUGUAAAUUAUUCAGCUUGGUUUCUGGGGUUUGCUGUCUAGUACAGCUCCCCCGUAAUAUAUUAGCAUCUCCAGUUGAUCUCGGAUUGACUCAGUGUAAUAGACUAUUCGCUGAGGACGAGAACAUCGGGAAGCUCCAAAGCCCACAGUCCAUUUUGAAUUAGACCUCAAAUCAGAUAGGAUUACCCGCUGAACUUAA
This 200-nucleotide unclassified non-coding RNA is filed under the name soil metagenome. RNAcentral's name for it is "partial contains internal transcribed spacer 2 and large subunit ribosomal RNA". The record is from RNAcentral.